RNAcentral lists this transfer RNA (77 nucleotides) under Betaproteobacteria bacterium RIFCSPLOWO2_02_FULL_67_26. RNAcentral describes it as "tRNA-Pro". It matches the Rfam family "tRNA". From Rfam's summary of the family: Transfer RNA (tRNA) molecules are approximately 80 nucleotides in length. Their secondary structure includes four short double-helical elements and three loops (D, anti-codon, and T loops). Further hydrogen bonds mediate the characteristic L-shaped molecular structure. tRNAs have two regions of fundamental functional importance: the anti-codon, which is responsible for specific mRNA codon recognition, and the 3' end, to which the tRNAs corresponding amino acid is attached (by aminoacyl-tRNA synthetases). tRNAs cope with the degeneracy of the genetic code in two manners: having more than one tRNA (with a specific anti-codon) for a particular amino acid; and 'wobble' base-pairing, i.e. permitting non-standard base-pairing at the 3rd anti-codon position. The record is from RNAcentral. RNAcentral also lists the same sequence under 6 other names. Lineage: Bacteria; Pseudomonadati; Pseudomonadota; Betaproteobacteria.
CGGGGUGUAGCGCAGCCUGGUAGCGCACUGCGUUCGGGACGCAGGUGUCGGAGGUUCAAAUCCUCUCACCCCGACCA